AAAGCGUGCGCAGGCGGUUCUAUAAGACGGAUGUGAAAUCCCCGGGCUCAACCUGGGAACUGCAUUUGUGACUGUAGAGCUGGAGUGCGGCAGAGGGGGAUGGAAUUCCGCGUGUAGCAGUGAAAUGCGUAGAUAUGCGGAGGAACACCGAUGGCGAAGGCAAUCCCCUGGGCCUGCACUGACGCUCAUGCACGAAAGCGUGGGGAGCAAACAGGAUUAGAUACCCCUGU
Molecule: ribosomal RNA, 230 nt
Filed under: uncultured bacterium
Lineage: Bacteria
Description: partial 16S ribosomal RNA
Rfam family: Bacterial small subunit ribosomal RNA
Source: RNAcentral